This 881-nucleotide long non-coding RNA is filed under the name Androctonus crassicauda. The record is from RNAcentral. Lineage: Eukaryota; Metazoa; Arthropoda; Arachnida; Scorpiones; Buthidae.
GUAAAAGACUGGUUUUUAUCGGUCAACAGUACGACCGAAACAGAUAGAAAAAGCAACGAUAGACAUCGCAACCUCGCGCAUGCGCAGACCGUGGACUUUAUCGGUCGGAGCCGAGUCGUAACUGUGCGGAAACUCCCUAAUUGAGUACUCGAUUGUAAAUUAAUUUGCACACAAUUUUUACCAUAUUCCUGUUUAUAAAUAUCAAAUUUUACAAUUAUAUACGUAAUUGUCGUACUGUAUUUAGUUGCGAAAUAUUUCUCCCACGUAGAAUUUUCCUCUCGAGUAAAAAAAAAAAAGGAAAUUAGAAGUUUUCGUAAUUUUCCUGUCCUGAUUUUAUUAGUAUAUAGUCGCUAACAAUUAUCAAAUUAAUUUUUAUAAGAAAAAAAAAUUCUUUGAUUUUGAAUUUCCGCUUAAAUAACGUAAGCAUUAUUCGAACAGCGAGUUAAAAAGAUAUAGAAAAAAUAAAACCAAAUCCUCGAUAAAGUUUCUUUGCAACAGACGAAAGAAGGAAAAUCAUUCGAUUCCGAUCACUCAAGCGCAGAUCGAUGUCCGGAUUCUGCGAUUUAUCAACAUAUUGUGUUUUUUUUUUUUUUUUUUUGCAGAUACGUUUUAACGAUACAGUAUUAUUUAUACUAAAAAUAAAAAAAAAUAAUAUGCAUUAUAUAAACAAAAAAUUUUAUGCUGCUUAUAACCUAACAAGUCAAUUUAUAAAUGUGUCCAGGAAAAUAAUUUUUUUUUUUUUAUCUGCGAUUUCUUUUAUUUCUAAUUUUAAAUUAAAUAAUUUUUCAUAAAUAUCAAUCAUAUAUUAGUUUUCGAAUUUCAAUCAAAUAUCAAUAUAAAUUUGCAAUUUAUAAAUAUAUCUAGAAAACUAAAAUGGUUCA